RNAcentral lists this unclassified non-coding RNA (291 nucleotides) under uncultured Psathyrella. Its description in RNAcentral is "sequence contains ITS2". The stretch from base 1 to 52 matches the Rfam family "5.8S ribosomal RNA", at positions 103 to 154 of the family's 154-position model. Lineage: Eukaryota; Fungi; Basidiomycota; Agaricomycetes; Agaricales; Psathyrellaceae. The record is from RNAcentral.
AACGCACCUUGCGCUCCUUGGUAUUCCGAGGAGCAUGCCUGUUUGAGUGUCAUUAAAUUCUCAACCUCUUCAGCUUUUGUUGAUGAGGCUUGGAUGUGGGGGUUUUGCAGGUCUGCCUUAAUUGUGCGGUCUGCUCCCCUGAAAUGUAUUAGCGGGUUGGCUUCCGUCUAUUGGUGUGAUAAUUAUCUACGCCGUGGAUGGGUUUGGCUUUCAGACCAGCUUCUAAUCGUCCUUUGGACAACUAUUGACAUUUUUGACCUCAAAUCAGGUAGGACUACCCGCUGAACUUAA